CUCGCAUAGCUACAUCGAUUCGUAGGUCAAAUUUUCAAAAGUUGGGGGUUUAACGGCAGGGCACCGCCAGGGCCUUCCAGAGCGAGGGUUUAACUACUACGCUCGGGGUCCUGGCGAGCUCGCCACUAGAUUUCAGGGCCUGCUUCGUUAGAAGCAGUGCCCCAACACCAAGCAAUGCUUGAGGGUUGAAAUGACGCUCGAACAGGCAUGCCCUCCGGAAUACCAGAGGGCGCAAUGUGCGUUCAAAGAUUCGAUGAUUCACUGAAUUCUGCAAUUCACAUUACUUAUCGCAUUUCGCUGCGUUCUUCAUCGAUGCCAGAACCAAGAGAUCCGUUGUUGAAAGUUUUGAUUCAUUUGUGUUUUUUCUCAGAGUUUCAGUGUAAAAACAAGAGUUAACUUGGCCGCCGGCGUGCCUUCUCCUCACCGGGGUGAGGGGCCUACUAGAGGCCAGCAUGCGCCGAGGCAACAAAAGGUAUAAGUUCACAAAGGGUUUCUGGGUGCGCCUGGGGCGCGUUCCAGCAAUGAUCCCUCCGCAGGUUCACCCUACGGAA
This 551-nucleotide ribosomal RNA is filed under the name fungal sp. SNB-GSS09. RNAcentral describes it as "partial large subunit ribosomal RNA". Lineage: Eukaryota; Fungi. The record is from RNAcentral.